This 47-nucleotide transfer RNA is filed under the name Corydoras cf. blochi MA243. Its description in RNAcentral is "partial tRNA-Ser". The record is from RNAcentral. Lineage: Eukaryota; Metazoa; Chordata; Actinopteri; Siluriformes; Callichthyidae.
AGAGGCUUUAAGCACUAAGGACUGCUAAUCCCUACUCCCAUGGUUAA